This is a long non-coding RNA of Lactuca sativa (garden lettuce), 226 nucleotides long. RefSeq lists it as uncharacterized. The record is from RefSeq and is a predicted model, not a curated record. NCBI's taxonomy places the organism in Eukaryota, Viridiplantae, Streptophyta, Magnoliopsida, Asterales, Asteraceae.
GGCAUCCUUUUGCUUGUCGACGUCGUAUUUCUCGUACUUCUUGCAUAUUACAUCUACUCUUGUUAUCAAAUCGAUUACUCCCAUCUAUACCUGUAGAAACUUUGACUUGAUUCUACAGAUCGAUUGUGAUCGUAUAUCCGUAGAUAAUGGAGUUGAGAGUGAGGACAAAGCCGGCGAUUUGGCGGAGGAGCGGGAGGAAACCGACGGAAAGAGCAAAGUACAAGUU